Molecule: non-coding RNA, 72 nt
Organism: Xenopus tropicalis (tropical clawed frog)
Lineage: Eukaryota; Metazoa; Chordata; Amphibia; Anura; Pipidae
Source: Rfam
UAACAUAAACCCGUAGAUCCGAUCUUGUGGUGAAUUCCUUUGCUCAAGCUCGUUUCUAUGGGUCUGUGUCAU